UACGUAGGGGGCAAGCGUUGUCCGGAUUUAUUGGGCGUAAAGAGCGUGUAGGCGGUUUGGUAGGUCCGUUGUGAAAACUCGAGGCUCAACCUCGAGACGGCGAUGGAAACCAUCAGACUAGAGUCCGGAAGAGGAGAGUGGAAUUCCUGGUGUAGCGGUGAAAUGCGCAGAUAUCAGGAAGAACACCCGUGGCUAAGGCGGCUCUCUAGUACGGUACUGACGCUGAGACGCGAAAGCGUGGGGAGCGAACAGG
This 253-nucleotide ribosomal RNA is filed under the name uncultured bacterium. Its description in RNAcentral is "partial 16S ribosomal RNA". It matches the Rfam family "Bacterial small subunit ribosomal RNA", at positions 524 to 776 of the family's 1533-position model. The record is from RNAcentral.